GUAUUGCUGAAGAGUCCCAUACUAAGACGAAACAGCUGUCCAGUAC
RNAcentral lists this non-coding RNA (46 nucleotides) under Trichobilharzia regenti. Lineage: Eukaryota; Metazoa; Platyhelminthes; Trematoda; Strigeidida; Schistosomatidae. The record is from RNAcentral.